Long non-coding RNA from Gossypium raimondii (Peruvian cotton), 495 nucleotides. RefSeq lists it as uncharacterized. The record is from RefSeq and is a predicted model, not a curated record. Lineage: Eukaryota; Viridiplantae; Streptophyta; Magnoliopsida; Malvales; Malvaceae. The transcript is spliced from 3 exons.
UUUUCUUUCCAUCUAUUUCCCUUAACAAACCAUGCACAGGGAGAAAGAUUUGAAGUGAGUUCUCACCAUUUUUCAUCCUCCAAAUCUCAAAGAAGGCAAGGGUCUUGAUCUAGCUUUUUUUAAGUUCCAUGAAAAAAAUAUAUCUAUGUUCAUCAAUGAUGAAGGUGGAGGUUUUUGGGUGUUUGGGAAGUUAAAGACGGUGGUGAAUCUUCUAAAGCUAAGGGUAAAGGCAAAGUGGUAGAGAGCUAGGCAAGAAACUUUGUUGGUGUUCUUCCAUCAAGACUUUUGUUCGUGUCCGAGGAACAUCAUCGAUGAAAGACUCCUAGCAUCACGUAUUCAGAGUACAGUACCUUAUGCAUUAGUGGGCAUUGUAUUCAUAAGGCCUUGUAUUCUUUUUGUAGGUCUGUAACUCAUUUAUCAUUUUUGUUAUUUUGACUAUUUUGAUAUACGAUAAUAUUAGAGCUCCACAUAUUUUGUAUAACUACUUUUAUUACU